RNAcentral lists this small nucleolar RNA (146 nucleotides) under Drosophila virilis. RNAcentral describes it as "snoRNA:GJ25500". It matches the Rfam family "Small nucleolar RNA psi28S-3378". Rfam says of the family: psi28S-3378 is a member of the H/ACA class of snoRNA. Lineage: Eukaryota; Metazoa; Arthropoda; Insecta; Diptera; Drosophilidae. The record is from RNAcentral.
CAGCACCAAAAUCAGUAACCAAGCGAUUGCUAAACUAGCUUGGCGACUACGCUUGGGUGCUAAAAUUAAAACACGCUAUAAUGCCGCAUGUAUUUAAAGAGCAUACUAACCCAUUGGAAUGCUUGUGGCCUUGUUUUGAGACAAGU